GAACGCCCCGUUUGGAAACCUGAGCUCCAUACAAAAUGGAAGAGGUUUUUCCACAAGUUUUCAUUUGUUUCUCACUCUUGGCAGCUGGGCUCCUAAAGGAACUGCAGUGCUGCACGUGGAUCCCUGGUAAGGCUAGGAGAGCUAACUAGGAUAUAGCCGGUGGCUGGGAGAUUAUCCUAGCUGAGAGGCAAGGAUAAGAAGCCAGGGUUCUUCUCACUCCUAGCCACAACGGAGAGGCUACGCUUGCCCAAGCAGCAAGAGAUUCUGAGAGCCUGCUUUGACCAGUUUGUCUUCUGCUUCAGGAAUGCCCUGUGGAAGACCAGGAACUUGCUCAUAAACAGAUACACAAACCUCUCAGUAGAGGGCUGCAUCAAAAUGGGACUGAGUGAAAUGUACUGGUACUACAGAGAGAUGGCAGACAUCACGUGGAAGAGAGGGGCCUGCCUCUCAAUAAAACAUCCUGCCCUAAAUGCACGACAAACUGGGCACUGAUACCAAAAGGCUUCGUGAUCUUCAAGUGUCCCAGGAAGCGCCUGGAAGGGGUUGGUGAGUCAAGCCCAGUACUUAGCACUGCUGCUUACUGCAGCCCCAGGCUGGAGCAGGGCAGAAGCAACCCUGUUGUUUCCCCCACCCCUAGAGCAACUGGGAAAGAAGCAGUGGGUCCCCCUCCUCUCCCUGUGCCAGGAGGAAAUUUUUUUUUAGACAAACACUGCUGGAGAAGGGGAGCGCCUGUGUGAAAGGGUUCAUGGAUUCAAAAAAGUCCCUGACAGCUGUUGCUGUUCAGUUUGCCCACUGACUUCUUUAUUCUUGAAUUAAAAGUACCUGGUUUUCUUUUUUGUUAAAGAGCCUGCCUCACUGGUUAUCAAAACACAGGAAAAAACAUAGGCUAUUGGUAGCAUGCUCUGGAGGGAUAUAGGUAUGCCUGGUAGUGAAGAGAACCACAUUCAGUAAGUCAGUUAUUUUGUACUUCUUUGAAUCAUGGUUUCCCUCCCACCCCCAAAAUGAAGCUAACACAAAUCAGAAAUGUGUUCAUGACUUGUUAUUUGAGGCCACAUUUUUAAAGAAAUGCAAAUAACCUUUGUAACUAUAUCAAAGAAGAAACAGUGUAGUAUGAAGAAUGACUCCAAAAUGUUUAAACCACUAAAAUCCAUUAUAAAACCUGGCUUCAAAGAGAGCAACGAAGCAAAGAAGCUGACAACUUGUUAAGAAACACCUGUAGUAGUAGUAGUAUGUGCUGAUAAGGACCAGGUAAAGGAAAAUACAAAUCAACUACUAUGGGUCAUCAAGGGCAUGUUAGGUCAAAACAAUUUGUGAAUAUAAUUACUGAACUACUGACAAUUAUUCUUUUGGAGCUACCAGAAAACCAAUGGAAAGUAAAUAUAGUGUCAGUUUUAAAAGAAAUCUGGUGACUGUGAUGGCCUACUUAUUAUUAAUUGUUAUUAUUAGCUCUUACAUAGCAUUUUCCAAGCACCGUCACUUUCAUGCUUAGUGAAAUACCAUUAAGUUUAAACUAGGUGACUAGAUGCUACACAUCCUUUUUUGUGUUAUCCAGUAUGGGCUAUCCACUAGCUAAUCAAGCACAAAAGUGUAGGAAACUUGAGUUUAUAAAGAAUAAAUUUUCCCAGGCAAUCUUAAUAGCUCUUUUAAAAAUAGAAUUUAAAAAACCAGCAAACAAAAUGAAUGCCACUAAUGUUGGUCUACUUAUAAAAGUCUAAGGCAUUUUAAAUUUGAUUUCAUAAAAACUUAAUUUAAAUGGCUUUGACUAUUAUCUUGCAGCUUGAAAGCAAGCUAAUAGGCCAGGGGAAAAAAAAAAGAUAAACAGUAAUGUACCACAUUGUCUGGGGAAAAGUCCCUCAUCACAGAAUCUAGUGUUGGCUCCAGUCUCAUUUAAAAAUCAAUAUUCAUGAGCUCAAAAGAGGAGUCAACAUUGCAUAAAUAGCAUUCAGAGAUAAUACUAUAUAGAGAGGAGAUGCACAAAGCAGUGCAAGAGGCAAUAUAGUAUAAAGGAAACUACAGAGAAAAAAAGAAGCAGAAAAUAACCCAGUGAGAUUGAGCAGAGUUGUCACAUUCCACCUUGCCUUAGGUCCCAAUUUGGCAAAAGAGGCUCAAGUACAUGUCCAUUGUUAAGCUAGGUUUUUAAGCACCUUACAGAACUAUAGUCUUAACCAUUUUUCCACAGACUGAUACCUUCAGCAUCUAAAAUAUACACACUCUUCUGAAUUGAAUUCUAUUACACUGCAGUGUCUAGAGCUAAAAGCAAUAUAUCGGGCAUGCUCACAACAGAGCUUUAUAGAGAGGGACCUCCUGCUCCAUUCCUUCAAGUAACUCAACAAUGAUCUUUUUAAAUAUCAGUACAGUAUAACCUCAUGAAUCCGGCAUGCUCGGGACUGAGCACCUGCCAGAAAUUUGAAAACUCUGGAUUUUUUAAACCAGAGCAGUGGCCAGUUCUGGGGCCGUGGGGAGGUAGCAGCAGGCGGUUCCAGAGUGGCAGCACGGGGUGGUGGAUGGCGGUGGCAGCUGCUGCACGCAAGGUUCCCUCCUGCUGCUCUGGGACCGGCUGCCGCUACUCCCCAAACUAGUGUAGUUUUAAAAAGUGCUGGAUUUUUGAGAAUUUUGGAUAUUUGAUAUCCAGAUUUAUGAGGUUAUACUGUACUACCAUACACUGCAUUGCAAACUUAUUUCUACCUCAGUUUCCUCUGUUUCUCUUUCAGCUUCAUUGCUUGCCCAUUCUAUUGGUAUAUGUUUCUGAUUAUUGUUUUGCAAAUACAUUAGUUUGUAUUUUUCAAGCUAAAUCUUACUGGGUUACCUUUGAGCCAUAUUUUGCCUCUAGGUCCCUUUACAUUAUCUCUUUUUCGCUGGCUUCUCAGAUCAUUCCUAAUGGAUACCAUGUGAAAAUGUCCCCAGUGUGCUAUUUACUUCCAAACCAUUGAUGAGUACAUAAGGUCAGAGCUAACAUGCAGACAACAGUAUCCUACCAACCAGCUACUCUUCACUUGAUAAGAAAUGUUAUUUUAUUUAUUUUUAUAAUCUAUUUUAUUUUACCAUUCCCCAAGCUGGAUAAAGAUUGAUGAUUUUUUUUUAACAACAAUCUGUGUUUCCUUUUAGAGAGUAAAUUAUAUCAAUUAAGUGUUAAGGCCUAAACUAAUUAUAAUCUAUUAAAAGUAAAUAAAAAUAGCAUUCAAACACUA
Molecule: long non-coding RNA, 3188 nt
Organism: Alligator mississippiensis (American alligator)
Lineage: Eukaryota; Metazoa; Chordata; Crocodylia; Alligatoridae
Exons: 2
Source: RefSeq, a predicted model, not a curated record